CCUGAAAUGAAGCGUCUUAGUAGGGGAUGGAAAAGAAAUCAAUAGAGACCCGGUUAGUAACAGCGAGUGAACGCCGGUCAGAUCGCGCUGAAUAUUCUGCAGUAAUGCAGAUAAGAUGUGGCGGGGAGCAUCCGUUUUUUGAGCUGAACUUGUCUGGAACGACACGCCACAGCGAGUGAUAGCCUCUUAAGCGAAGGAAAACGGAGCGAUCCAAAAAGAGUAGUGCCUCCUGGAUAGGUGGUAUGAAUAUGGGGGUAUCAACCUCUAAAUCUAAGUAUGAGUGUGCCAGACCGAUAGCGAAUUUAGUAUCGCGAGAGAAUGCUGAAAAGUACCGCGAGAGCGGUGUUAAAAGAACCUGAAAUUACAUGGAGACAUUACGAUACGGCGCAAAAGAAUCGACCUUCCUGGAAGUUAGGUUUCGUAAGGAACUGUACGACAGGGAGUAUCAGCGUUGUGUCUUACUUCUCGAAGCAAGUGCCAAGGAGUUAUCGGGCGUGGCGAGAUGAAAAUCGAAGCGAAAGCGAGUGCCCGCAAGAAAUGAGGGGUGUCGUGCGAAAGCGCGAUCAGUCACUCCCGAUAGACCCGAAGCCGUUGUGAUCUACUCCCGGCCAGGAUGAAGCCAUUCUGACGAAUGGUGGAGGUCCGAAUCCAGUUCUGGUAUAUUCCGUUUGGGUGAGCUGGGUGUAGGGGUGAUAGUCCAAUCGAACACGGCGAUAGCGGGUUCCCUCCGAAAUGUCCCUCAGGACAGCGUCCCUAGAGGAUGAUGCGGCGGUAGAGCACUGAUUAGGGGGAAUGGCCUCGAAAGGGGUCGCCUUCUUCUCAAACUCCGAAUGCCGUUUCUCCAAAGAAGGGGGCAGUCGGGUUUCACGGGGUAAGCUCGUGAGCCCUUACGGGAACGACCGUACGUGGGGUUAAGGACCCUAAAUGCUGGUUAAGUGUUAAUCGUAAAGGAGCGUCCAUCCUAAAACAAUCGGGAUGUAGGCUUAGAAGCAGCCAUCAUU
Molecule: ribosomal RNA, 1001 nt
Filed under: Microcaldota archaeon
Lineage: Archaea; Nanobdellati; Microcaldota
Description: partial 23S ribosomal RNA
Rfam family: Archaeal large subunit ribosomal RNA
Source: RNAcentral